AGAAUCAACGCUGGCGGCGUGCCUAACACAUGCAAGUCGAACGAGAAAGUGGAGCAAUCCAUGAGUAAAGUGGCGACCGGGUGAGUAACACGUGACUAACCUACCUUCGAGUGGGGAAUAACCUCGGGAAACCGGGCUAAUACCGCAUAAUGUCUUCGGACCAAAGGAGCAAUUCGCUUGAAGAGGGGGUCGCGGCCGAUUAGCUAGUUGGCGGGUAACGCCCACCAAGGCGAUGAUCGGUAG
This 243-nucleotide ribosomal RNA is filed under the name uncultured bacterium. RNAcentral describes it as "partial small subunit ribosomal RNA". It matches the Rfam family "Bacterial small subunit ribosomal RNA", at positions 26 to 286 of the family's 1533-position model. The record is from RNAcentral.